Non-coding RNA from Perca fluviatilis (European perch), 586 nucleotides. The record is from the annotation of a RefSeq genome assembly. NCBI's taxonomy places the organism in Eukaryota, Metazoa, Chordata, Actinopteri, Perciformes, Percidae.
UAUGAUUUUCAUCUACACUAAUAAUACAUUGAAUCAAUUUAAGACAUUUGCCUUUACAGAAGACAAAACUAAUUAAAUGAGAGACACCAUGCAGAUUAAAGCAAAGCUCCUCCUCCUGUCAGUCCCUCUCAGUUUCAGUGUUGUAUUAAGUUGCUCCUCCAGCACCACCUCUCCUCAUCCUCCAACCCCUCUCAUCUGUCAGCAGUAAGCUCACUUUCCAAGUCACAAGGCCAUUCUCAGCACACACUGCCAACAUGCUGGGGACCCUCUGCACUCUCAUCACUGCUCUAACAUGUGUGAGUGGUGUGACCGUGGUGACACAGAAGCCUCCUGUUGUCACGGUGAGGAAAGGAGAGACAGCCACCAUGGACUGUAACCUGGGGACUGUUACUACCCAUGUUGCUUACUGGUAUAAACAGAUUCCAGGAGGAGUUCCUCAGUUUAUGUUGUAUUUUCAUCACGCCGAUAGCUCUCAACCUAUGGCUCUAGUUUCUCCUCUCCAAAGUUCACAUCUAAUCAUCAGUCAACAUCAGAUUAUCGUCCAGUUAUUAAAGUGAUGACGUUUGGUAUCAUUUCGGGCAUGUAA